This 430-nucleotide long non-coding RNA is filed under the name Solanum tuberosum (potato). RNAcentral describes it as "long non-coding RNA (STUB_LNC009626)". Lineage: Eukaryota; Viridiplantae; Streptophyta; Magnoliopsida; Solanales; Solanaceae. The record is from RNAcentral.
UGUUUAGUAGUUUAAGUUUAUCAUAUUGUGUCGUUGAAUUCCACUUUGAGAUGGGUUGAAUAUUUUUCGUUAUAGUUCUGUUUCUGUGUGACCUUAGGUGUUCGUUUUGCUGCUCCUAAAUUUUUGUGACCGAGAUUUGCUUAUAUUUUUGUUGGGAUAAGCAAUAUAAGCGAAUAUUUUGUAUGUUCUCGAAAGCUUUCUCUCUUAGUUUGUUUUGUUUAAGCUAAGACAUAAUGUUUGCUUACCGAUCUUAAAUCUUGUGUUCACUGGAGUAUUGUUGGUUUGAUGUGUAGAACUUAAUAGGUCUGUUUCUUCUACAGUUUAAGCAUAAGUUUUCUUGAUUAAGAUAUAAUUACUUGUGACUUAAUUUUUCUUUUGAGUCAAGAGUAGAGUUGGUUAUGAAAUUUGCUCUCUCUCUAGUUCAUGAAAA